Molecule: ribosomal RNA, 468 nt
Filed under: uncultured bacterium
Lineage: Bacteria
Description: partial 16S ribosomal RNA
Rfam family: Bacterial small subunit ribosomal RNA
Source: RNAcentral
UCCUCCCCCUUUCUUCGUGCUUAACACAUGCAAGUCGAACGGAAAGGCCCUGCUUUUGUGGGGUGCUCGAGUGGCGAACGGGUGAGUAACACGUGAGUAACCUGCCCUUGACUUUGGGAUAACUUCAGGAAACUGGGGCUAAUACCGGAUAGGAGCUCCUGCUGCAUGGUGGGGGUUGGAAAGUUUCGGCGGUUGGGGAUGGACUCGCGGCUUAUCAGCUUGUUGGUGGGGUAGUGGCUUACCAAGGCUUUGACGGGUAGCCGGCCUGAGAGGGUGACCGGCCACAUUGGGACUGAGAUACGGCCCAGACUCCUACGGGAGGCAGCAGUGGGGAAUAUUGCACAAUGGGCGGAAGCCUGAUGCAGCAACGCUGCGUGCGGGAUGACGGCCUUCGGGUUGUAAACCGCUUUCGCCUGUGACGAAGCGUGAGUGACGGUAAUGGGUAAAGAAGCACCGGCUAACUACGUG